This 1246-nucleotide ribosomal RNA is filed under the name 'Carica papaya' leaf malformation phytoplasma. RNAcentral's name for it is "bacterial SSU rRNA". It matches the Rfam family "Bacterial small subunit ribosomal RNA", at positions 153 to 1399 of the family's 1533-position model. Lineage: Bacteria; Bacillati; Mycoplasmatota; Mollicutes; Acholeplasmatales; Acholeplasmataceae. The record is from RNAcentral.
GAAACGACUGCUAAGACUGGAUAGGAGACAAGAGGGCAUCUUCUUGUUUUUAAAAGACCUAGCAAUAGGUAUGCUUAGGGAGGAGCUUGCGUCACAUUAGUUAGUUGGUGGGGUAAAGGCCUACCAAGACUAUGAUGUGUAGCCGGGCUGAGAGGUUGAACGGCCACAUUGGGACUGAGACACGGCCCAAGCUCCUACGGGAGGCAGCAGUAGGGAAUUUUCGGCAAUGGAGGAAACUCUGACCGAGCAACGCCGCGUGAACGAUGAAGUAUUUCGGUACGUAAAGUUCUUUUAUUAGGGAAGAAUAAAUGAUGGAAAAAUCAUUCUGACGGUACCUAAUGAAUAAGCCCCGGCUAACUAUGUGCCAGCAGCCGCGGUAAUACAUAGGGGGCAAGCGUUAUCCGGAAUUAUUGGGCGUAAAGGGUGCGUAGGCGGUUAAAUAAGUUUAUGGUCUAAGUGCAAUGCUCAACAUUGUGAUGCUAUAAAAACUGUUUAGCUAGAGUAAGAUAGAGGCAAGUGGAAUUCCAUGUGUAGUGGUAAAAUGCGUAAAUAUAUGGAGGAACACCAGUAGCGAAGGCGGCUUGCUGGGUCUUUACUGACGCUGAGGCACGAAAGCGUGGGGAGCAAACAGGAUUAGAUACCCUGGUAGUCCACGCCGUAAACGAUGAGUACUAAACGUUGGGUAAAACCAGUGUUGAAGUUAACACAUUAAGUACUCCGCCUGAGUAGUACGUACGCAAGUAUGAAACUUAAAGGAAUUGACGGGACUCCGCACAAGCGGUGAAUCAUGUUGUUUAAUUCGAAGGUACCCGAAAAACCUCACCAGGUCUUGACAUGCUUCUGCAAAGCUGUAGAAACACAGUGGAGGUUAUCAGUUGCACAGGUGGUGCAUGGUUGUCGUCAGCUCGUGUCGUGAGAUGUUGGGUUAAGUCCCGCAACGAGCGCAACCCUUAUUGUUAGUUACCAGCACGUAAUGGUGGGGACUUUAGCAAGACUGCCAGUGAUAAAUUGGAGGAAGGUGGGGACAACGUCAAAUCAUCAUGCCCCUUAUGACCUGGGCUACAAACGUGAUACAAUGGCUGUUACAAAGGGUAGCUGAAGCGCAAGUUUUUGGCGAAUCUCAAAAAAACAGUCUCAGUUCGGAUUGAAGUCUGCAACUCGACUUCAUGAAGUUGGAAUCGCUAGUAAUCGCGAAUCAGCAUGUCGCGGUGAAUACGUUCACGGGGUUUGUACACACCGCCCGUCA